Molecule: ribosomal RNA, 404 nt
Filed under: Actinomycetes bacterium
Lineage: Bacteria; Bacillati; Actinomycetota; Actinomycetes
Description: Actinobacteria bacterium partial 16S ribosomal RNA
Rfam family: Bacterial small subunit ribosomal RNA
Source: RNAcentral
UGGGGAAUAUUGGACAAUGGGCGCAAGCCUGAUCCAGCCAUGCCGCGUGAGUGAUGAAUGCCCUAGGGUUGUAAAGCUCUUUCACCGGUGAAGAUAAUGACGGUAACCGGAGAAGAAGCCCCGGCUAACUUCGUGCCAGCAGCCGCGGUAAUACGAAGGGGGCUAGCGUUGUUCGGAUUUACUGGGCGUAAAGCGCACGUAGGCGGACUUUUAAGUCAGGGGUGAAAUCCUGGGGCUCAACCCCGGAACUGCCUUUGAUACUGGAAGUCUUGAGUAUGGUAGAGGUGAGUGGAAUUCCGAGUGUAGAGGUGAAAUUCGUAGAUAUUCGGAGGAACACCAGUGGCGAAGGCGGCUCACUGGACCAUUACUGACGCUGAGGUGCGAAAGCGUGGGGAGCAAACAGG